GUCGGUAAUUAGGUUUCUUUCUUUUUAUGGAGGUGCUGGGGAUGGAAGCCAGGACCACUCAUUGAAACAGGUGACUUAGCAGAUGGCUUCUUGAUGAGAUGAAGAAUAAAAUAGCAAGACCACUUUGAGAAGUGAUGAGGAUAGAUGUCGCCACCCUGGAGCUGGUGAUGGGGUCAGCCCACUUCUCCGUCAAUGUGCAACACCUCCCUGUAGAGAAUCACAAUCAUCUUGGUGGGAGUUUAAGUUCUGUUGGCCAGUACAACCUUAAUAAGUGGACGGUACACUUUUAAAGAAAGAAUGAAGAAAACUGGAUUCCUCUUAAAGAAAUUGUGAAGAGAAGCCAGCCCUAGAGGGCAGUGUCAGGGUCAGCUGCUUUUAAACUAUCCACAACUGUAAAGUGAAAAGGGAGAAAGACUUGAAGGUUAACUCACUCCCAACUGCAUGUCCAACAUGGAACUCUGAAGACAUAAAUAGAUUAGCGUGCCUUCUAGAAGAGAGCCACGUGGAGGAAAGAUGGUCUGAGCCAACUGGCUGUGGCUGCAGGGUUCUACAGCAUUGGGGUUAUGCCCCAGGACACUGAAGCCAUUCCACUGGGACUCACAACCUGGUUGGGCCACUUCCUAAAUGUGUGACCUUGGGUAAGUUAUUUAACCUUUCUGUGCUCUGUUCAUUCAACAGACAGUUAUUAAGUGGCAACUCUGAGUGCUGGGGAUACUGCAGUGAACAAAACAGACAAAAAUCCCCAUUCUUUUUGUAGAGCGUGUGUGUAGGGAGUGGGGGGUUCUGGGUGAUGGUAACAAUGUAUCAUGUGUGUGCUGGUGACUUCGGUGUUCAGAUUGUAAAAAUUAAUUGAGCUGUACACCUAUGUGGACUUUCCUGUAUUUUACUUUGAAUCCACGGCCUUGUGAAGAUCAUUAAAUAUUAAGUGA
Molecule: non-coding RNA, 929 nt
Organism: Vicugna pacos (alpaca)
Lineage: Eukaryota; Metazoa; Chordata; Mammalia; Artiodactyla; Camelidae
Source: RefSeq, a predicted model, not a curated record